This 280-nucleotide ribosomal RNA is filed under the name uncultured bacterium. RNAcentral's name for it is "partial 16S ribosomal RNA". It matches the Rfam family "Bacterial small subunit ribosomal RNA", at positions 506 to 784 of the family's 1533-position model. The record is from RNAcentral.
UGCCAGCCGCCGCGGUAAUACGGAGGAUGCAGGCGUUAUCCGGAUUUAUUGGGUUUAAAGCGCACGUAGGCGGAUUAGUAAGUUAGGGGUGAAAUCCCGGGGCUCAACCCCGGAACUGCCUCUAAUACUGCUCGUCUUGAGUGUCGGAGAGGGAAGCGGAAUUCUGGGUGCAGAGGUGAAAUUCGUAGAUAUCCGGAGGAACACCGGUGGCGAAGGCGGCUUCCUGGACGACUACUGACGACUGAGACGCGAAAGCGUGGGGAGCAAACAGGAUUAGAUA